RNAcentral lists this ribosomal RNA (820 nucleotides) under uncultured Microgenomates group bacterium. RNAcentral describes it as "bacterial SSU rRNA". It matches the Rfam family "Bacterial small subunit ribosomal RNA", at positions 102 to 924 of the family's 1533-position model. The record is from RNAcentral.
ACGGCUCAGUAACACGUAGGGACCUGCCCCUAGGUAAGGGAUAGCCCACCGAAAGGUGGGGUAAUACUUUAUAGUCUCUUUUGAGUAAAGGGCGUAACUGCCCGCCAAGGGAUGGACCUGCGAUCUAUCAGAUUGUUGGUGGGGUAACGGCCUACCAAGUCUACGACGGAUAGCUGGCUUUAGAGAGUGGUCAGCCAGAGGGGCACUGAGACACGGGCCCCACUCCUACGGGAGGCAGCAAUCAGGAAUAGUCGGCAAUGGGCGAAAGCCUGACCGUGCGACGUCGCGUGUGGGAAGAAGUUCUAAUCGAGCGUAAACCACUGUGGUAAAGGAAGAAGUCCCGACAUAUGUCGGGGUUGACGGUACUUUACAAGAAAGGGGCCGCUAACUGCGUGCCAGAAGCGUCGGUAAGACGUGGGCCCCAAGCGUUAUCCGGUGUUAUUGGGCGUAAAGAGUCGUGUAGGCGGUCUUGCAAGUUGUCUUUUAAAGCUUCCUGCUCAACGGGAAAACAGGAGAUAAUACUGCGAGACUAGAAUUUGCUUUAGGGAGAUUGGAACUUAAUGAGGAGCAGUGAAAUGCGUUGAUACGUUAAGGAACACCAGUGGCGAAGGCGAAUCUCUGGAAGUUAAUUGACGCUGAGACACGAAAGCUAGGGGAGCGAAGCAGAUUAGAGACCUGCGUAGUCCUAGCCCUAAACUAUGCUUGCUAGCUGCAUUCUCCGACCUUGUGUCGUAGGGUGUGGCGAAGGUAACCCGUUAAGCAAGCCGCCUGGGGAGUACGGUCGCAAGGCUGAAACUCAAAGGAAUUGGCGGGGGAGCAC